This 468-nucleotide ribosomal RNA is filed under the name uncultured bacterium. RNAcentral describes it as "partial 16S ribosomal RNA". It matches the Rfam family "Bacterial small subunit ribosomal RNA", at positions 28 to 507 of the family's 1533-position model. The record is from RNAcentral.
GACGAACGCUGGCGGCGUGCUUAACACAUGCAAGUCGAACAGAAAGGCCCUGCUUUUGUGGGGUGCUCGAGUGGCGAACGGGUGAGUAACACGUGAGUAACCUGCCCUUGACUUUGGGAUAACUUCAGGAAACUGGGGCUAAUACCGGAUAGGAGCUCCUGCUGCAUGGUGGGGGUUGGAAAGUUUCGGCGGUUGGGGAUGGACUCGCGGCUUAUCAGCUUGUUGGUGGGGUAGUGGCUUACCAAGGCUUCGACGGGUAGCCGGCCUGAGAGGGUGACCGGCCACAUUGGGACUGAGAUACGGCCCAGACUCCUACGGGAGGCAGCAGUGGGGAAUAUUGCACAAUGGGCGGAAGCCUGAUGCAGCAACGCCGCGUGCGGGAUGACGGCCUUCGGGUUGUAAACCGCUUUCGCCUGUGACGAAGCGUGAGUGACGGUAAUGGGUAAAGAAGCACCGGCUAACUACGUG